Neopelma chrysocephalum (saffron-crested tyrant-manakin) is the source of this 270-nucleotide long non-coding RNA. RefSeq lists it as uncharacterized. The transcript has 3 exons. The record is from RefSeq and is a predicted model, not a curated record. NCBI's taxonomy places the organism in Eukaryota, Metazoa, Chordata, Aves, Passeriformes, Pipridae.
UCCUAAAUCACUUGGGGUUUUAGCCAAGGUGUGAAAGGUUUUUACUCCUAAAUCACCUGGGAUUUUUGACCAAGGUCUGAAAGAUGUUUGUUCCUAAAUCACUUGGGAUUGGAAGGUUUUUGUUCCUAAAUCAUUUGGGAUUGGAAGGUGUUUGUUCCUAAAUCAUUUGGGAUUGGAAGGUGUUUGUUCCCAAAUCACUUGGGAUUGAAAGGUGUUUGUUCCUAAAUCACUUGGGAUUGAAAGGUGUUUGUUCCCAAAUCAUUUGGGAUU